AAAAUCCAUUGCUUAAGAAUGACACAGUAAUUACCGCACGAUCAACUGAAGCACCUUCACAGCAUCAUGGCAGUGGAAAUGAUUUUGGAGGGAAUGGCUCAAGUGCAUUUCUCUGGCCAGACCUGGCAUCAGAGACACCAGAGUUACAGCUUAAUUUCCUAGAGCCUGACUUCAGAUGACAACUCCCAGAGGACGCCUUUGCUUUCAGAAAAUCUGGCUUUGGGCUGAAAAAUUCAGACUGGCAUUCAACUGCCCGGAUUUAGCACCACCUGGAGAAAUAGACUCUACAGCUAUCAAGAAACCAGGCUCAGUCUUUGCACCUACCUGUGUGACCUUGGGUAAGUGGUUUGAUUAAUUU
Oryctolagus cuniculus (rabbit) is the source of this 358-nucleotide non-coding RNA. The record is from RefSeq and is a predicted model, not a curated record. NCBI's taxonomy places the organism in Eukaryota, Metazoa, Chordata, Mammalia, Lagomorpha, Leporidae.